GACGAACGCUGGCGGCGUGCCUAAUACAUGCAAGUCGAACGAGAGCAACCGGUGCUUGCACUGGUCAAUCUAGUGGCGAACGGGUGAGUAACACGUGGGUAACCUGCCCAUCAGAGGGGGAUAACAUCCGGAAACGGAUGCUAAAACCGCAUAGGUCUUCGAACCGCAUGGUUUGAAGAGGAAAAGAGGCGCAAGCUUCUGCUGAUGGAUGGACCCGCGGUGCAUUAGCUAGUUGGUGAGGUAACGGCUCACCAAGGCCGUGAUGCAUAGCCGACCUGAGAGGGUGAUCGGCCACAUUGGGACUGGGACACGGCCCAAACUCCUACGGGAGGCAGCAGUAGGGAAUCUUCCGCAAUGGACGCAAGUCUGACGGAGCAACGCCGCGUGAGUGAAGAAGGUUUUCGGAUCGUAAAACUCUGUUGUUAGAGAAGAACAAGUGCUAGAGUAACUGUUAGCGCCUUGGCGGUAUCUAACCAGAAAGCCACGGCUAACUACGUG
This 498-nucleotide ribosomal RNA is filed under the name uncultured bacterium. RNAcentral describes it as "partial 16S ribosomal RNA". It matches the Rfam family "Bacterial small subunit ribosomal RNA", at positions 28 to 507 of the family's 1533-position model. The record is from RNAcentral.